AUGUUGGCAAAUCAAACUCCAAUAAAAAAAAUACCAAAAAAAAAAAAAGAAAGAAAAGAAAAAGAAGAAGAAGAAAAGAAAGAAAGGGGCAUGCUGCACCCCUGCCCCUCAGGCGGGGAGGGGCAGAGGGAGACGGUGGGUGUAAGGGGCGUGGCAGAGAGAGCCAGAGGGUCGGAUAAGGGUGGCCCCUUGGCCUGCCAUUCAGAGGACUGUCUGGGGGCGGGGGGGGGCCUGGCGGGAUGUCCUGAGGACCCGGGGCGCCCCGGGCCCAGCGCCCCCUCUGCCCCAGCCAGUGAGCCUCCGGAAGGCGGUGACAAGGAAAGGGCUCCCGACGCUGGCCCGGCCCAGGGCAGCCCCGAAACUGCGCGCAGGGCUGGGUGGCUGAGGGGGGGGCGGGGCCGGGGGUGGGGGCACGUGCACGCGGGCGGGGGCGGGGCGGGCCGAGGGCGGGGCCGGGGCGGGGCCGGGGCGGGGGGGGGGGGGGGGGGGGGGGGGGGGGGGGGGGGGCGGGGCGGGGGGGGGGCCGGGGGCGGGGCCGGGGGCGGGGCGCGUGCGCGCGGGGCUCGGCCCGGGAAGGGCGUGCGAACCGGGAAGCGCGGGCGGCGGCGGCCCUGGGCGGGGCCGGGAGGCGGAGCUCGGCCUGCGGCCCCUCGGAGCCCGGACUCGCGGUGGCCGGGCGGCCGGGGAGGCGGCGGCGGCGGCGGCGACAGUAAGUGCGGGCCUGACCCGGCCGCUCUUCAGGCCCCGGCCGCGCCCCGGGCUCGCGCGCCUCGGCGCCCCCCUCCCCCCCGCCCCCGGGGCGCCCCCCCCCACCCGGCGCCCUCCCCGGGCAUCCCAGCCCCUGGACGGCGGUGCCUCUGGCCCAGUCCCUCCCCGUCGUCCCCCCUCUUCCUCCCCCCGCCCCAGUCUUCCCCCUUCUGGGUCGCUCUGCCCUUUCUGCCCCUGAUUCUCUCCCCGCCUCCUGCCCCUCCUCAUGGAUUUCCUGGCGCGGGACCUGACCGCGGGGUCGCGGGGGGCCUGGGUACCGUGAGUCAGCCCAAAGUACCCAGAAGCUGGUGA
Molecule: long non-coding RNA, 1059 nt
Filed under: Canis lupus familiaris (dog)
Lineage: Eukaryota; Metazoa; Chordata; Mammalia; Carnivora; Canidae
Description: lncRNA (ENSCAFG00040000200.1)
Source: RNAcentral